Small nuclear RNA from Heterocephalus glaber (naked mole-rat), 88 nucleotides. Its record names the gene U2. It matches the Rfam family "U2 spliceosomal RNA". From Rfam's summary of the family: U2 is a small nuclear RNA (snRNA) component of the spliceosome (involved in pre-mRNA splicing). Complementary binding between U2 snRNA (in an area lying towards the 5' end but 3' to hairpin I) and the branchpoint sequence (BPS) of the intron results the bulging out of an unpaired adenosine, on the BPS, which initiates a nucleophilic attack at the intronic 5' splice site, thus starting the first of two transesterification reactions that mediate splicing. The record is from Ensembl. Lineage: Eukaryota; Metazoa; Chordata; Mammalia; Rodentia; Bathyergidae.
AUCUCUUCUUGGCCUUUUGGCUAAGAUCAAGUGCAGUAUGGACAGCCAGCCAAAUAAUACAUAUACUUUUUUAAGGUUUACAACAUUU